This 165-nucleotide ribosomal RNA is filed under the name Gagea fragifera. RNAcentral describes it as "5.8S ribosomal RNA". It matches the Rfam family "5.8S ribosomal RNA". Rfam says of the family: 5.8S ribosomal RNA (5.8S rRNA) is a component of the large subunit of the eukaryotic ribosome. It is transcribed by RNA polymerase I as part of the 45S precursor that also contains 18S and 28S rRNA. The record is from RNAcentral. Lineage: Eukaryota; Viridiplantae; Streptophyta; Magnoliopsida; Liliales; Liliaceae.
CAUUAAGACUCUCGGCAACGGAUAUCUCGGCUCUUACAUCGAUGAAGAACGUAGCGAAAUGCGAUACUUGGUGUGAAUUGCAGAAUCCCGUGAACCAUCGAGUCUUUGAACGCAAGUUGCGCCCGAGGCCUUCGGGCCGAGGGCACGCCUGCCUGGGCGUCACGC